GAGUUUGAUCCUGGCUCAGGACGAACGCUAGCGACGUGCCUAAGAAAUGCAAGUCGAACGGGGGGAGCAAUCCCCUAGUGGCGAACGGUCGCGUAACACGUGGGCAACCUGCCCUGAAGCGGGGGACAACGGGGGGAAACUUCCGCUAAUACCGCAUGUGAAUUGCUCCGGCAUCGGAGCGGAUUCAAAGCCGCAAGGCACUUCAGGAUGGGCCCGCGGCCUAUCAGCUAGUUGGUGAGGUAACGGCCCACCAAGGCGACGACGGGUAGCUGGUCUGAGAGGACGAUCAGCCGGAUUGGGACUGAGAUACGGCCCAGACUCCUACGGGGGGCAGCAAUUAGGAAUCUUGCGCAAUGGGCGAAAGCCUGACGCAGCGACGUCGCGUGAAGGAUGAAAUCUUUCGGGAUGUAAACUUCUUUUAUCGGGGAAGAAAAAAAUGACGGUACCCGGUGAAUAAGCCCCGGCUAACUACGUGCCAGCAGCCGCGGUAAUACG
RNAcentral lists this ribosomal RNA (495 nucleotides) under uncultured eubacterium WR173. Its description in RNAcentral is "16S ribosomal RNA". It matches the Rfam family "Bacterial small subunit ribosomal RNA", at positions 9 to 527 of the family's 1533-position model. The record is from RNAcentral.